CCUACGGGCGGCAGCAGUGAGGAAUAUUGGUCAAUGGACGCAAGUCUGAACCAGCCAUGCCGCGUGCAGGAAGACGGCUCUAUGAGUUGUAAGCUGCUUUUGUACGAGGGUAAACGCAGAUACGCGUAUCUGUCUGAAAGUAUCGUACGAAUAAAGAUCGGCUAACUCCGUGCCAGCCGCCGCGGUAAUACGGAGGAUUCAAGCGUUAUUCGGAUUUACUGGGGUUAAAGUGUGCGUAGGCGGUCGGAUAAGAUAGAGGUGAAAUCCCGAGGCUCAACUUCGGAAUUGCAUCUGAUACUGUUCGGCUAGAGAGUAGUAGCGGUAGGUGGAAUGUAUGGUGUAGCGGUGAAAUGCGUAGAGAUCAUACAGAACACCGAUUGCGAAGGCAGCUUACCAAGCUACGUCUGACGUUGAGGCACGAAAGCGUGGGGAGCAAACAGGAUUAGAUACCCUGGUAGUC
RNAcentral lists this ribosomal RNA (460 nucleotides) under uncultured bacterium. RNAcentral's name for it is "partial 16S ribosomal RNA". It matches the Rfam family "Bacterial small subunit ribosomal RNA", at positions 338 to 795 of the family's 1533-position model. The record is from RNAcentral.